RNAcentral lists this long non-coding RNA (983 nucleotides) under Cebus imitator (Panamanian white-faced capuchin). Its description in RNAcentral is "lncRNA (ENSCCAG00000038185.1)". Lineage: Eukaryota; Metazoa; Chordata; Mammalia; Primates; Cebidae. The record is from RNAcentral.
CCCACCAAAGGCUCCGCAACUGGAAGAGCCACUUCUGUCCCGCCCCACUCUGUGGCGUAGGUGGGACAUUUCCGGUCGUUUGUUGCGCGUGCGCGCGCUCUGACGUUCCCUGCGUCUCAUCCCCGCGCAGCCCUGCCCGUCGGGCGUUGGGUUUCCCGGCGCUAGUAGCGCUGGGUCUUCGGCACCCUCGGUCCGGUUGGGGCUGUCAAGCCGGACCAAAUAGGUUGUUUCUCUGCAGUUUCCAACAUGGCAGGCAGGUUUAAAUAGACAUGGAUAAGAAGUCCACUCACAGAAAUCCUGAAGAUGCCAAGGCUGGCAAAAAUGAAGAUAAACAAAAACGAAAGAAAAAAAGAAAGCAAAACCUAAAUCACCACCAAUCCCGACAUAGAUCGGUGACAUCUUUUUCUUCAGAUGAUCGUGUGUUUCCUUCUUCAUCAUCAUCAUCUUCAGCAAGCCAGACGGAUUCGAGUACUGAAGAUGCUACUAAGGAAAAAAUUAAGAAGAGGGGAGAGAAAACAAAUAAAUGGAGAAAAAAAAGAAAGGUUAGUAAUUUUGAGUAAUAUAAGAAUAAGAUUUAGCUAUUAGAGGAUAUUGUACUUAUUAAAUAAGAAACAAAAUUUAUAAGGAAUUUGAAGAGAUAUAAGGCAAAGAAUGGUUAACAUAGUAGUUAACAUGGUGGUGCUAAGCUUAUGGUGUUCUUUGCUGCUUUUCAAAUACUUCUGAGAAAACUAUACAGACAAGUAAAAUCUCAGUUACAAUUCUUUAGAUUCUUUCAAAUUUUGAUGUUAACAUAGUUAUAAAAUAGCAUAUGUGCUUUGAAUUUUAUAACAGUUAUAAAAUAGUUAUAACAUAGUUAUAAAAUAGCAUAUAUGCUUUGGAUUUUACUCUGUUAGGCAUUGGGAACAUUUGAACAUCUUAAAACAGAAAUGACAUUUUCUAACCUUUGUUCUAGGAAUAUAAUUCAAUAUCAGAAUGACUUGGAG